CUCAUACCUAAACCCAAGAAUCACUUUCUUAUAGUGAUGAUUUAAACAGAUGCAAACAGCAAGCACAUCUUGUCACCUUUGUGGGGCAGUGGCUGUGCCCCUCACAGUAAAUUUGGAGGUUCUACAUCC
This is a small nucleolar RNA of Colobus angolensis palliatus, 129 nucleotides long. The record is from Ensembl. Lineage: Eukaryota; Metazoa; Chordata; Mammalia; Primates; Cercopithecidae.